UACGGAGGGUGCAAGCGUUGCUCGGAAUCACUGGGCGUAAAGCGACAGCAGGCGGCCUGACAAGUCGGAUGUGAAGGCCCUGGGCUCAACUCAGGAACAGCAUUCGAAACUGGCAGGCUUGAGUACGGGAGAGGGGGGUGGAAUUCCUGGUGUAGGGGUGAAAUUCGUUGAUAUCAGGAGGAACACCGGCGGCGAAGGCGGCCCCCUGGCCCGCAACUGACGCUCAUGGUCGAAAGCGUGGGGAGCAAACAGG
Molecule: ribosomal RNA, 253 nt
Filed under: uncultured bacterium
Lineage: Bacteria
Description: partial 16S ribosomal RNA
Rfam family: Bacterial small subunit ribosomal RNA
Source: RNAcentral